Molecule: long non-coding RNA, 2730 nt
Filed under: Ananas comosus (pineapple)
Lineage: Eukaryota; Viridiplantae; Streptophyta; Magnoliopsida; Poales; Bromeliaceae
Description: long non-coding RNA (ACOM_LNC014260)
Source: RNAcentral
AGCUCGCCCCGUCCUCCCUCUCGUGCGCGCUCGCCCACACGUGCGAGCGAGCUCACGAUGGUUUCCCAACGAGUCGCCAUGGAUAGGGGUGUUAAGAUCCAGCAUCAACGGAGGAAGACGAUGUUAAGAUCCUACCCGACCUUCCCUCUCCUCGAGGAGAAGAGGCGAUCCUGCGCACACAUCAAACAAGGUUCUCCCUUCGAUUCGGUUUUGACGCUUCAGUUUUUCCUAAUGCUUCAGGGAUUUGGGCUUUUGAUUAUCCGUUUUAGGGCUUUAGAGUUUUGAUGGUUUAGGGUUUUAGGGUUUUAGGUUUCGAUUACCUGCGGGUAUCCUUCAGGCGAGGUUUCCCUGCAAUCCGGUGUGAGUUUUAGGGUUUGAGUCAUCGGUUACAGGGUUUUAGGAUUCUAGGGUUUGACCGCAAAUUUCCAGUUUUAGGAUUUUAGGUAUUCGGCGUUUAUUAUCUCAACCUUCUCGAUUGCGGAAGAUGGAUUUCAGGGUUAGGGGAUAAGAUCCUUUUUGGUCUAUUAGGUUUCAAUUGCCAACUCUAGAGUUAAGCCUUGCUUGGGAAGCUUUUAAAUAUUCUUUGCUGUUUGGUCCCUGUAAUCGAGUCUAUGAUGUGUUAGUUAAUCUACCGCUUAAACACUGCAAUUUGGAAAUGAGAUUGGAGAUAUGUUAUGUUUAUUAUAGAAAAAUUAUCUGCUGAAUCAGGUGUAAGUUCAUGUUGAUGUAGAUAUAAUGAUGUCAGGUUCAUGCAGAAUAGAAAAUACACUUUCAACCUUUUCUCUUGUGAUAUUACGAGGUUAAGUUUUAGUUACACCUUUAUGAAGUAAGUUGUUCAUUGCAACCUGUAGACUGAGAGGUAAAGCUUAUAACUGAUGGAAAUUUUUUCCGAAAUGAGGCCUCUCUGGCAUCAGACUGCUAAUUCCAAAUGCUAAUGUGGCCAGUUUUCUCUUCUUUCCAUUCCCAUAGAUGGUUUGGUUGAGCUGAGUUAUAUUUAUGGAUGAGUAGCAUGUGCUAAAUUAUGUCUUGGAAAACAAGGCAUUAGGAGCUCUCUGUAGCUCAUCCUUGAUGUCCUAAUUUUUUCCUUGUGUGAGGUUAGCGGGGCAAAUCCUUUUGUUUUUUGGUUGGGGUAGCCUUUUCAAUGAUGUAAGUCCUUAAUGUCCCCCCAUCAAAGAGUUUAAAAAAGGGAUCAGAAUUCUUGCUGGUCGAAGCUUUUUAGCGAAUUUAGCUCUCCAUGAUAUAAUAAUUGAUGUCUCAACCGGUAGUAUUAGUAAGCUACUAACCAAAAUGCAAGAUUGGUACUUCAUGUAUGUGGCCAUUUUUUCAGACCAACACAUGAUGUAUGCCUCACUCUGAAUUAUCGUAUGGCAAAACUACAAUAUUGUUGUUCAAUUGUCGACAGUCAUGAUCACUUGAGCAGGCAUCUGGUCAUCGACGAGGCAUGUUUCUUUCUAGAUUCUUUUACUUUGUUGGUAAAUUUUUAUGAGUCGAAAUACGUGAGUUAUCUGUGAUCUAUAUUUCUUCACAAUAGCAACAGCAGGAUUUUAGAAACAACUCUGCUGAACAUGUAAUAUGAGUUUAAUCACCUUCUGGAGGAGAGAGUCAGAUAUUUCCAGAACUAGUUAUUCAUUCUAUUAUGUGAACAUGGGCAUGCAAGAAUUGCAAUCUAAUCCCUACUAAUUGCAACAAAUGCUAAGGUCGAUAUUCUACAGGAGUUGUUUUUGGAAUCCUAUCACACCUUUUGAUAUCUUGAUUGUUAAUAUUUGGUUUAUGAAUUCCCAUUAGGUGAUGUUUCAUCAACAGCAUAGAAGCCUUUAAGUGUGAUAUCCUUCUUUCAGCGAUCAGAUGUUUGUUCAAGUGGUUGUGAUUGUCUAUAAUUGGAUAAAUUCAGCCGCAAACUUGUCAUGUGCAAGUCCAGACUAACACAGCUCAUUUGUAUGGAAGGUAGCCCUAUAUAGAAAAUACCAAUAGGUUUUGCACUUCCAGGUAGCCACACAUUGACAUUAGAUGAUAGUUAAUGUAGCUCUAGGUUGCUGUCAAGAUCUUUAAUGUUGGACAUUCGAUAGCUGCAUAAUCACCUAAAUGAAUUGCAAGAUAUUUUUCUGAAGGCAUGAGUGCCUAACCACAUUGUCACCAAAUAAAAAUUAGUUAAUCAAGUAUCAUGAAUAGAAAAAUAUUUUUGGGUUUUGUGAAUUUUUAAGUUGACAAAAGAAAAGGAGCAAAAUUGAAUUCAAUUCUUGAUGGGUAGCAAACUGCUGCAGAACAACUUCAGUGUUCUAUAUUUUAUUCUCAGACCAGGAAUAUGAAGAUUAUUUUUUAUUUUCCAACAAGGAGGUUAUCGAAUAAGCGAGUUCCGCAAGAGCUUUCGCGUUGAGAUUCUCAUCUCUCAGUGGGUUCUUCAUGGCUCUUCCUUCAAAGAGUAGGAUAUCACAGUCGUCAGGUGUGUCCUCGGCAUGCUGCAAUUUGUCAAUGGCAUUCUCUAUAUUCCUGGCCUUGAUGUCUCCUAUGGAACCUGUCACUGAUUGCUUCAUCUCCCUGUAGUAGCGAAUGCAUGCGAUGAGAUUGUUGACGAGAUCUUCGGUAAUGUCUAUGAUUGAGGUGAUGUUGAUUUUUGUGAGGUUGGCAGCAAGGAGGGCGAGCUCGCGAGUGUCGGCGGAUGUGCUUUUAGGCACGGCAUAGAGAGUUUCCAUGCAGAAUCGGUAGUCUACUGAGCGCACCCUCUCUACAGCC